UUUAUACAUGAGAGUUUGAUCCUGGCUCAGGAUGAACGCUGGCGGCGUGCUUAACACAUGCAAGUCGAACGGGGGUCAUUUGACGGAAGUCUUCGGACGGAAGUGAUUUGACUCGAGUGGCGGACGGGUGAGUAACACGUGAGUAACCUGCCUUUUGCUGGGGAAUAACUGUGGGAAACCAUGGCUAAUACCGCAUGUUGUAUCCACAAGGCAUCUUGUGGGUAUGAAAGGAGCAAUCCGGCAGAAGAUGGGCUCGCGUCCGAUUAGGUAGUUGGUGGGGUAAAGGCCUACCAAGCCUGCGAUCGGUAGCCGGACUGAGAGGUCGAACGGCCACAUUGGGACUGAGACACGGCCCAGACUCCUACGGGAGGCAGCAGUGGGGAAUUUUGGGCAAUGGGGGCAACCCUGACCCAGCGACGCCGCGUGAAGGACGAAGGCCUUCGGGUUGUAAACUUCUUUGGGGAGGGACGAAGAUGACGGUACCUCCAGAACAAGCCACGGCUAACUACGUGCCAGCAGCCGCGGUAAUACGUAGGUGGCAAGCGUUAUCCGGAUUUACUGGGUGUAAAGGGCGCGCAGGCGGUCUUGCAAGUCAGAUGUGAAAGAUCAAGGCUUAACUUUGACAGGUCAUCUGAAACUGCGGGACUUGAGUAUCAGAGGGGAAAGUGGAAUUCCUGGUGGAGCGGUAAAAUGCGCAGAGAUCAGGAGGAACACCGGUGGCGAAGGCGACUUUCUGGCUGACAACUGACGCUGAGGCGCGAAAGCGUG
This 768-nucleotide ribosomal RNA is filed under the name Fastidiosipila sp. RNAcentral describes it as "bacterial SSU rRNA". It matches the Rfam family "Bacterial small subunit ribosomal RNA", at positions 1 to 763 of the family's 1533-position model. The record is from RNAcentral. Lineage: Bacteria; Bacillati; Bacillota; Clostridia; Eubacteriales; Oscillospiraceae.